RNAcentral lists this ribosomal RNA (347 nucleotides) under Poduridae environmental sample. RNAcentral describes it as "SSU rRNA". It matches the Rfam family "Eukaryotic small subunit ribosomal RNA", at positions 594 to 945 of the family's 1831-position model. Lineage: Eukaryota; Metazoa; Arthropoda; Collembola; Poduromorpha; Poduridae. The record is from RNAcentral.
AUAGCGUAUAUUAAAGUUGUUGUGGUUAAAAAGCUCGUAGUUGGAUCUCGGUUUCGGGUGAAUGGUGCACCUUGCGGUGUUUACUAUUUAUUCGGACGAUUUUGUUGGUUCGUUCCUGGUUCUCUUAAUCGAGUGCCUUGAGUGGCCAACACGUUUACUUUGAAAAAAUUGGAGUGCUCAAAGCAGGCGCUACAGCCUGAACAUUAGUGCAUGGAAUAAUGGAAUAGGAUCUCGGUUCUAUUUCGUUGGCUUUCGGAGUCGAGGUAAUGAUUAAUAGGGACAGACGGGGGCAUUCGUACUGCGACGUUAGAGGUGAAAUUCUUGGAUCGUCGCAAGACGAACUACUG